AGUGAGGUUAGGGUUAGGGUGAGUGUGAGUGUGAGGGUGAGGAUGAGGGUGAAAGUGAGGGUGAAGGUGAGGGUGAGGACAAGGGUGAGAGUGAGGAUGUAGAUGAAAAUGAGAGUGAGGGUGAAGAUGAGAAUGAAAGUAAGAGAGUGAAUAUAAGUGGGAGUGUGAAGUUGAAUAUAAAUGUGAGUGUUUUUGAGAUCAUUUGAUAAUAUAAUGCAAGAAAGCUUUGAAAAUUUGACAAAAGCUAGUGAAGACUUCGUAACUGAGAAUUAUUUUAUAUCUAAGUCAAAUUACAUUAUGAAUAAAAUAAUGUAAUGAUUGAAAAAAUGUUAUAAAAUUAUUUUGUUUUGAUUGAUUUAGUUUCUUAUAACAUGGCUAAAAAUUCUGUUUACACGUUUAGAUAAAAAAAAUUUAAGAUAUACUAAGUCAUUUUAAAAUAUUUUAUUUAAUAAUUUAUCCAAGUUUGAUUUUGGUCUUUUAAUCGCAGGACACAUACAUUGAGUAAAAUUACUUAACAGUCCGAAUAUGUGCUAACAGCUCG
RNAcentral lists this long non-coding RNA (541 nucleotides) under Brassica napus (rape). Its description in RNAcentral is "long non-coding RNA (BNAP_LNC004380)". The record is from RNAcentral. Lineage: Eukaryota; Viridiplantae; Streptophyta; Magnoliopsida; Brassicales; Brassicaceae.